CUGCUAGGGAGUGGAACUCCUUGCCGGAGUCUGUGUUUCCUGAUGGGUAUAACCUGGGUGUCUUCAAGGCCCGAGUGAAUAGGUUGCUUAUGGGCAGACGUGCUCCACCGUAGGCCGCAUCAUCACUUACCAUCAGGCGAGAUAGCGGCCAAACGUCGGCCCAUUUAACAUAAAAAAAAACUACUCGACUCUAGCAUGGCUUGAAACUAGUUGAGUUCCUCGUCAGACAGUUACGUGAGUAAGCUGAUAACAUAAUCAUAAGAAUAAUGGCUUUAUAGUACCCUUAAAUUUUACAAUUUAAGGACCGAGUAGAUAUUGCAUUUUUUUAAGAGUAUGCUGUAUUAUUUAUUGGUCAAUAGUAGCUUAAUCUUUUGUCCUCCGACCUAUGUAUGUGUUUGUGCGCGAUUAUCUCGCGUUUGGUUGAAUCUAAAUAAAAAACCAUCAAUCUGUACAUAAUUUUGAAAAUAAAACAAUUUGCAAACUGCA
Spodoptera frugiperda (fall armyworm) is the source of this 486-nucleotide long non-coding RNA. RefSeq lists it as uncharacterized. The transcript is spliced from 2 exons. The record is from RefSeq and is a predicted model, not a curated record. NCBI's taxonomy places the organism in Eukaryota, Metazoa, Arthropoda, Insecta, Lepidoptera, Noctuidae.